Oncorhynchus keta (chum salmon) is the source of this 562-nucleotide long non-coding RNA. RefSeq lists it as uncharacterized. The transcript has 3 exons. Lineage: Eukaryota; Metazoa; Chordata; Actinopteri; Salmoniformes; Salmonidae. The record is from RefSeq and is a predicted model, not a curated record.
GAACUUGUUCUCAACUAGCCUACCUGGUUAAAUAAAGGGAACUUGUUCUCAACUGGUUAAAUAAAGGUGAAAAAGAAGCCUUCCAUGUAAUUCCAUCCAAAAUCAGGUUGUAGGUUUGGAGUUUUAAUUUAGAGUGAAGGUUAUGUUGAGGAGGGUAGUAUCCUGUAUAUGUCCUGGUUACAUAGUGAAGGUCAUGUUGUUUAGGGUAGCAUCCUGUAUAUGUCCUGGUGACAUAGUGAAGGUUAUGUUGAGGAGGGUAGUAUCCUGUAUAUGUCCUGGUUACAUAGUGAAGGUUAUGUUGAGGAGGGUAGUAUCCUGUAUAUGUCCUGGUUACAUAGUGAAGGUUAUGUUGAGGAGGGUAGUAUCCUGUAUAUGUCCUGGUUACAUAGUGAAGGUUAUGUUGAGGAGGGUAGUAUCCUGUAUAUGUCCUGGUUACAUAGUGAAGGUUAUGUUGAGGAGGGUAGUAUCCUGUAUAUGUCCUGGUUACAUAGUGAAGGUUAUGUUGAGGAGGGUAGUAUCCUGUAUAUGUCCUGGUUACAUAGUGAAGGUUAUGUUGAGGAGG